Molecule: ribosomal RNA, 445 nt
Filed under: Bacillus subtilis
Lineage: Bacteria; Bacillati; Bacillota; Bacilli; Caryophanales; Bacillaceae
Description: bacterial SSU rRNA
Rfam family: Bacterial small subunit ribosomal RNA
Source: RNAcentral
CCCUGAUGUUAGCGGCGGACGGGUGAGUAACACGUGGGUAACCUGCCUGUAAGACUGGGAUAACUCCGGGAAACCGGGGCUAAUACCGGAUGGUUGUUUGAACCGCAUGGUUCAAACAUAAAAGGUGGCUUCGGCUACCACUUACAGAUGGACCCGCGGCGCAUUAGCUAGUUGGUGAGGUAACGGCUCACCAAGGCGACGAUGCGUAGCCGACCUGAGAGGGUGAUCGGCCACACUGGGACUGAGACACGGCCCAGACUCCUACGGGAGGCAGCAGUAGGGAAUCUUCCGCAAUGGACGAAAGUCUGACGGAGCAACGCCGCGUGAGUGAUGAAGGUUUUCGGAUCGUAAAGCUCUGUUGUUAGGGAAGAACAAGUACCGUUCGAAUAGGGCGGUACCUUGACGGUACCUAACCAGAAAGCCACGGCUAACUACGUGCCAGCAG